This 1010-nucleotide ribosomal RNA is filed under the name Bacillus subtilis. RNAcentral's name for it is "bacterial SSU rRNA". It matches the Rfam family "Bacterial small subunit ribosomal RNA", at positions 28 to 1013 of the family's 1533-position model. The record is from RNAcentral. Lineage: Bacteria; Bacillati; Bacillota; Bacilli; Caryophanales; Bacillaceae.
AACGACGGAUGGGGGGUUGCCAAAUACAUUGCAAGUCGAGCGGACAGAUGGGAGCUUGCUCCCUGAUGUUAGCGGCGGACGGGUGAGUAACACGUGGGUAACCUGCCUGUAAGACUGGGAUAACUCCGGGAAACCGGGGCUAAUACCGGAUGGUUGUUUGAACCGCAUGGUUCAAACAUAAAAGGUGGCUUCGGCUACCACUUACAGAUGGACCCGCGGCGCAUUAGCUAGUUGGUGAGGUAACGGCUCACCAAGGCGACGAUGCGUAGCCGACCUGAGAGGGUGAUCGGCCACACUGGGACUGAGACACGGCCCAGACUCCUACGGGAGGCAGCAGUAGGGAAUCUUCCGCAAUGGACGAAAGUCUGACGGAGCAACGCCGCGUGAGUGAUGAAGGUUUUCGGAUCGUAAAGCUCUGUUGUUAGGGAAGAACAAGUACCGUUCGAAUAGGGCGGUACCUUGACGGUACCUAACCAGAAAGCCACGGCUAACUACGUGCCAGCAGCCGCGGUAAUACGUAGGUGGCAAGCGUUGUCCGGAAUUAUUGGGCGUAAAGGGCUCGCAGGCGGUUUCUUAAGUCUGAUGUGAAAGCCCCCGGCUCAACCGGGGAGGGUCAUUGGAAACUGGGGAACUUGAGUGCAGAAGAGGAGAGUGGAAUUCCACGUGUAGCGGUGAAAUGCGUAGAGAUGUGGAGGAACACCAGUGGCGAAGGCGACUCUCUGGUCUGUAACUGACGCUGAGGAGCGAAAGCGUGGGGAGCGAACAGGAUUAGAUACCCUGGUAGUCCACGCCGUAAACGAUGAGUGCUAAGUGUUAGGGGGUUUCCGCCCCUUAGUGCUGCAGCUAACGCAUUAAGCACUCCGCCUGGGGAGUACGGUCGCAAGACUGAAACUCAUAGGAAUUGGACGGGGGGCCCGCACAAGCGGUGGAGCCAUGUGGUUUUAUUUCGAAGCAACGCGCAAGAACCUUACCAGGGUCGUGGACAUCCUCUGACAAUCCUAAGAAAGACG